RNAcentral lists this ribosomal RNA (429 nucleotides) under Bacteroidota bacterium. RNAcentral's name for it is "Bacteroidetes bacterium partial 16S ribosomal RNA". It matches the Rfam family "Bacterial small subunit ribosomal RNA", at positions 355 to 776 of the family's 1533-position model. The record is from RNAcentral. Lineage: Bacteria; Pseudomonadati; Bacteroidota.
UAGGGAAUCUUCGGCAAUGGGGGGAACCCUGACCGAGCAACGCCGCGUGAGUGAAGAAGGUUUUCGGAUCGUAAAGCUCUGUUGUUAAGGAAGAACGAGUGUGAGAAUGGAAAGUUCAUACUGUGACGGUACUUAACCAGAAAGGGACGGCUAACUACGUGCCAGCAGCCGCGGUAAUACGUAGGUCCCGAGCGUUGUCCGGAUUUAUUGGGCGUAAAGCGAGCGCAGGCGGUUAGAUAAGUCUGAAGUUAAAGGCAGUGGCUCAACCAUUGUAGUCUUUGGAAACUGUUUAACUGGAGUGCAGAAGGGGAGAGUGGAAUUCCAUGUGUAGCGGUGAAAUGCGUAGAUAUAUGGAGGAACACCGGUGGCGAAAGCGGCUCUCUGGUCUGUAACUGACGCUGAGGCUCGAAAGCGUGGGGAGCGAACAGG